Long non-coding RNA from Ziziphus jujuba (common jujube), 3818 nucleotides. RefSeq lists it as uncharacterized. The record is from RefSeq and is a predicted model, not a curated record. Lineage: Eukaryota; Viridiplantae; Streptophyta; Magnoliopsida; Rosales; Rhamnaceae. The transcript has 2 exons.
GAGAAACAUCAUUUAGGUCAUUAAGGAUGAUCAGACUUGGAUUGAUGAUCCAGAUUAGAUUUUCAUUAUUUUAUUCUAAAUUUCAAGGCCCUGUAUAAUUCUAACCAACCUGAUAUUCCUGACUUUUUAAGAGAAUUGGAAAAUUGUUGCAUUACUCAAUAUGAAAAUUUAGAUCUUAUGAAGGUACCAUCUAUGGAGGAGAUUAAAGAUUUUGUUUGGAAUCUUCAUUCUUUAAAAAGUCCAGGACCAGAUGGUUUUUCAGGGAUCUUCUUCAGAAGCUACUGGUUUAUAGUUUAGGAUAAAGUGGUGAAGUUUAUUCAGGAGUGUUUCAGUUUUAAAAGAAUCCCUCAAAGUUCCAAUGAGACUUCCAUUGUUCUUAUUCCGAAAAUUAACCAACCUCAAAACUUCAAUCAUUUCCGUCCUAUUAGUUUAUGCAACUUCAUCUACAAGAUCGUUGCUAAGAUUCUUUUAGGAAGACUAAGCAAAGUGAUGGAUAAAAUAGUGUCACCUAAUCAAGGAGCUUUUGUUAAAGGUAGGUGGAUAGCUGAUAAUACAGUGGUGGCCCAAGAGAUCAUACACAAAGUUCAAAACCACAAGGGAAGGAAGGGUCUCAUGAUCAUCAAAAUCGAUCUAAAAAAAGCUUAGGAUCGGUUGGAAUGGAGAUUUCUAAACAAGGCUUUAGAAGUUCGAGGAUUCUCUUCAGAUUUUAGGGUGCUGAUUGGGAGCUGCAUAAGCUUGAUUACAUAUUCUCUUCUCCUCAAUGAAAAUAUUUACGAAUCUUUCUACCUGGAAAGAGGUCUACAACAAGGUGAUCCCUUAUCUUCCUUUCUUUCCAUUUGUUGUUCUGAGUUCCUUUCAAGAUUGUUGCAGAGAGAAGAGGAACAAGGAGGUCUUCAUGGUAUAAAGAUAGCCCAGAUCGCCCCAGCUGUGUCUCAUUUAAUGUAUGCGGAUGAUCUCCUCAUCAUGUGCCGAGCUGAUCCUAAAGAAGCUUCGAUUAUCAAAGAUAGUUUGCAGCAGCUACUGCAAUUGGUUAGGCCAACUAGCAAAUCCAAAAAAGUCGAACAUCCGUUCUCAAAAUCUACCACCAUAAAUUUUAGAAAAGUCAUUAAAGAUAUCUUGGGCUUCAAGGAUAUAGGGUCGAAAGCUAUAUAUUUGGGGAACACUUUUGUUUUCGAAAGAAACAAAACCAAUGAGUUUUUUAAUUUGAAAGAAAGGAUCAAAAAUAGAAUGGAGGGCUAGCGUAAAAAUCUAUUGGCUAAAACCAAAAAGGCUGUGUUGAUCAAAUCUGUUACUCAAGCUAUCCCCAUUUACACUAUGGCCACUUUUUCUCUUCCUCUUGAUCUUGUGAAGAACUCAAUGGGCUAGUUCGAAGGUUCUAUUGGGAAAACAAACCUAAUGACAAUGGAUAUCUUGCUUUAAAAGCUUGGAAAGAUAUCGGUUUUAGGAGGUUCAAAGAUAUGAACUUGGCUAUACUUGCUAAACUUGGUUGGAAACUAGCUAGUGGAGAAGAAUGCCUAUGGAAAAGAAUGAUGAAAGCCAAAUAUCUCCGUAAUGAGACUUUCUUUAGUUACACUCCGAAAAAAGAUGCUUCCUGGGUGUGGAAGGGGAUUGUGAAAUCUAGAUAUAUUUUAAGGAAAUGGGUUUGUUUCCAUAUAGAGGACAGUACCGCCAUUGAUUUGUGGAAGGAUAUGUGGGUUCUUAAUCUUCCCAAUAAGUGCCCUAUAGCGAGAGAAGAGACGGCAAUUCCUUAUUGGAGAAGAGUCUAUGAGUUAUGGGACUUUAGCAACCUUAAUUGGAAAGCUGAUGUAGUUAGACAGCUUUUUGAUGAUGAUUCGGCUGAAGCCAUCUUAAAAUUGGAGUGGCCAGAGGUCUCUUGCUCAAAUAAACUUAUUUGGUUGGAAAGUAAGGAAGGGAAAUUCUCUGUUAAAAGCUACUAUGAGCUUUUGGUUAAGAAUUCCAGCAGUGAAGAAUAAAGCAAUCAGUGGAAAAAACUAUGGAGUCUUAAAAUUCAUGACCCGCUCAAGCUAUUCCUUUGGAGAGUUUUAGCCAAUGUCAUUCCCACUUGCGAGGUGGUGGCCAAUAGAUUAGGCAAAGGUGACAGGUUUUGUGUUUUGUGCGGAGCAUAAGAGAAACCGGCGUUGCAUAUCUUUAAAGAGUGUCAAAACACAAGAAGAAUUGCUUUUGCUAGUAAAUGGGGCUGUAAGCUUGACCGUUGGACUAUUUCGAAUGUUGCCGAUCUUGUGAACCUUUGCAUCAAUCCUGGACCUGAGAUUUGUCCUCCUUUCUUAAAUAGUACAUAGUUGGCCAUCCUUUUGUCUUCGUUGAUGUACUUUGCUUGGAAAUGUAGGAAUGAUAAGAUAUUUUUAGGUGUUAGAUCUUCAUAUGAUGAAGUUUCGCUAUUUAUUCGUAUGGUUGAAGAUUUUUUGGCAGCUUCGAAUUUUUUGAACAUUUCUAAUUCUAAAGCUGUCGAGACUUGGAAGACCCCCCCAAAAGAUUGGCGGAAGAUUAAUACUGAUGCAGCCUUCUACAAUGGUCAAGCAGGUCUCGCUUUUGUGGUCAGGGAUUGGAGAGGAAACCUGCAGUUUCUGGCUUUGAAAUGAAUUUCUUGCUCAUUUCCCUUAGAAGCUGAGCUAAAAGCGGUUCUUUGGGUAGCGAGAGUUGCAGCUGAGCGGAAGUGGAACAAGUUGGAGUGGUUGUAUGACUCGGCCUCUGUGGUUGAGAACAUUACAGGCGUGGAAGGCCCUUCAGGAUGGGAUACCAGAUAUGAUUUCAUUUUCCUCCACUCUUUAUUUGCUAAAUUCAACUGUGUGUUAUGUUGGAACUCAAGGGAUUCUAAUAGAGUUAGCUUUAAAUGAGAGCAUGUUCUUUAAUUUGGAGAGAUCUUGCUAUGAAUCUCUUCUAAGGGAGGUCUGAGUUAUUUUAUUUUCUGAUAUGUUUAGUUCCCGUUUAGGCUUGUGUUAAGCCUCUUUUGGAGGUUUUCUUUUCCUUUUGGCAAUAUAUUUCCUUUUAUCCCCAAAAAAAAAAAAAAAAAAAGCAUGAAAAAUAACAAAGCGAAAUUGAAAUCCAUCAAAACGGCAACACUUAGUACUAAUUCAAAUAGUAUGCGUUUAAACUAAAAUAGCUAGGGGUGUACAGUUUAACUAUUAAACCAUGGUGACCGACCAACCGAACUGUACUGAUCGACGAUUGGCGAUGAUCGUUGUCUGAUUGGUUGGUUAACCAGCACCGAUCAAGAUACUUUGAUCGGUAAUUGUUAUCAAUGCUAAAAAAUUGCCAGCGACUGAAACUGACCAAAUAAUAAAGGACUUUUUAGUAUUUCUCAUCAGUUUACUCAGAUCUCGAUGUAUAUCAACCUCAUCUCCAAAAUACCCCCAAAAUUUCCCAAAUCACAACUUCAAUAGAUCUCUACUCUCUUUCUUAGACAGCACAACUCUAAGAUCUCUUUUCCCUUUCAAUCAUCGGUUCAACUUAAAGAAACUCACAUAUGGAGAGAGGAAGAAUCAAUUAAUUAAAGGAUUGACUAAAUUUGGGCAGUGGGUAUAAAUUUUCAAAGGUACAUAGACUAAAUUUUUCUUUUUAAUUUUGUCUUUAUUUUUUAUGAAAUAUGGAAGAAUGUGAAUUUUGUAUGCUGAGGAAUGUGGAUUUUGUAUUCUGGAAGAAUUGUAUGUUACGUGUUUUUUUUUGUAUGCCGGAAGUGUGGAGAUUGAAGGUUGAAUUGUGAAGAAUAGAAAUUAAAAUUUUGGAAGAAUUGUAUGUUUUGUUUAGUUUUUUAAUUGUAUGUUCUAUUUAACUUGAAGUUUUAUUUUGUUUAUUUUGCA